GCUUGCUUAAAGGGGCCGUAGCCGGCCUUGUAAGUCCUCCCUUAAACGGCGUGGCUCAACCACGCCGCUGGGGAGGAUACUGCAAGGCUAGGGAGCGGGAGAGGCGAGGGGUACUCGGGAGGUAGUGGCAAAAUACGAUAAUCUCCCGAGGACCACCAGUGGCGGAGGCGCCUCGCUAGAACGCGUCCGACGGUGAGGGACGAAAGCUGGGGGAGCAAAAGGGAUUAGAGACCCCUGUAGUCCCAGCUGUAAACGAUGCGGGCUAAAUGUUGGGCGAGGUUAGGCCUCGCUCAGUGUUGCAGGGAAGCCGUUAAGCCCGCCGCUUGGGGAGUACGGUCGCAAGACUGAAACUUAAAGGAAUUGGCGGGGGAGUACCACAAGGGGUGGAGGCUGCGGUUCAAUUGGAGUCAACGCCGGAAACCUUACCAGGGGCGACAGCAGGAUGAAGGUCAGGCUGAAGACCUUACUAGACGAGCUGAGAGGAGGUGCAUGGCCGUCGCC
Molecule: ribosomal RNA, 501 nt
Filed under: uncultured archaeon
Lineage: Archaea
Description: bacterial SSU rRNA
Rfam family: Archaeal small subunit ribosomal RNA
Source: RNAcentral